GCCCCUCUGGCGGAAUUGGUAGACGCGCUAGACUCAAAAUCUAGUUCUCGCAAGGGAGUGCCAGUUCGAUUCUGGCGGGGGGCACCA
RNAcentral lists this transfer RNA (87 nucleotides) under Rhodospirillaceae bacterium. RNAcentral describes it as "tRNA-Leu". It matches the Rfam family "tRNA". From Rfam's summary of the family: Transfer RNA (tRNA) molecules are approximately 80 nucleotides in length. Lineage: Bacteria; Pseudomonadati; Pseudomonadota; Alphaproteobacteria; Rhodospirillales; Rhodospirillaceae. RNAcentral also lists the same sequence under 2 other names. The record is from RNAcentral.